AGUGAACGCUGGCGGUAGGCCUAACACAUGCAAGUCGAACGGCAGCACAGUAAGAGCUUGCUCUUACGGGUGGCGAGUGGCGGACGGGUGAGGAGUACAUCGGAAUCUACUUUUUCGUGGGGGAUAACGUAGGGAAACUUACGCUAAUACCGCAUACGACCUACGGGUGAAAGCAGGGGAUCUUCGGACCUUGCGCGAUUGAAUGAGCCGAUGUCGGAUUAGCUAGUUGGCGGGGUAAAGGCCCACCAAGGCGACGAUCCGUAGCUGGUCUGAGAGGAUGAUCAGCCACACUGGAACCGAGACACGGUCCAGACUCCUACGGGAGGCAGCAGUGGGGAAUAUUGGACAAUGGGCGCAAGCCUGAUCCAGCCAUACCGCGUGGGUGAAGAAGGCCUUCGGGUUGUAAAGCCCUUUUGUUGGGAAAGAAAAGCAGCAGGUUAAUACCCCGCUGUUCUGACGGUACCCAAAGAAUAAGCACCGGCUAACUUCGUG
This 492-nucleotide ribosomal RNA is filed under the name uncultured bacterium. RNAcentral describes it as "partial 16S ribosomal RNA". It matches the Rfam family "Bacterial small subunit ribosomal RNA", at positions 29 to 507 of the family's 1533-position model. The record is from RNAcentral.